This 640-nucleotide ribosomal RNA is filed under the name Phlegmacium balteatum. RNAcentral describes it as "eukaryotic LSU rRNA". It matches the Rfam family "Eukaryotic large subunit ribosomal RNA", at positions 1 to 626 of the family's 3401-position model. Lineage: Eukaryota; Fungi; Basidiomycota; Agaricomycetes; Agaricales; Cortinariaceae. The record is from RNAcentral.
GUGACCUCAAAUCAGGUAGGACUACCCGCUGAACUUAAGCAUAUCAAUAAGCGGAGGAAAAGAAACUAACAAGGAUUCCCCUAGUAACUGCGAGUGAAGCGGGAAAAGCUCAAAUUUAAAAUCUGUCAGUCUUUGGCUGUCCGAGUUGUAAUCUAGAGAAGUGUUAUCCGCGCUGGACCGUGUACAAGUCUCCUGGAAUGGAGCGUCAUAGAGGGUGAGAAUCCCGUCUUUGACACGGACUGCCAGGGCUUUGUGAUGCGCUCUCAAAGAGUCGAGUUGUUUGGGAAUGCAGCUCAAAAUGGGUGGUAAAUUCCAUCUAAAGCUAAAUAUUGGCGAGAGACCGAUAGCGAACAAGUACCGUGAGGGAAAGAUGAAAAGAACUUUGGAAAGAGAGUUAAACAGUACGUGAAAUUGCUGAAAGGGAAACGCUUGAAGUCAGUCGCGUUGUCCAGGGAUCAACCUUGCUUUUGCUUGGUGUACUUUCUGGUUGACGGGUCAGCAUCAAUUUUGACUGUUGGAAAAAGGUCGAGGGAAUGUGGCAUCUUUAGAUGUGUUAUAGCCCUUGAUUGCAUACAAUGGUUGGGAUUGAGGAACUCAGCACGCCGCAAGGCCGGGUAUUAACCACGUACGUGCUAGAUGC